UUAUAAUUUUUUUGCAUUAUUAUUGAUGCUGCCCUUUGCGUUCCAUGAAUGUACCCUAUAACCAUUUGAACCACAAAAACUUGGACUACAAUGUAGUUAUUGUUUUAAUGAAACGGUUCAAAUCCAUAACCGAAGGUCCAUCUUCAGCAACACUUUGACCCCCCAACUCGGCCAACAUCCUUGUUGAUUCAAUAAACUCAGUUUUUCUCACAUCUAUAACAUCUCUCACUGCCUUCUCGACUAUACCUCGAUCGCAUGUAUCUUUUAUGUCAAUACCAACCUUCCACACCUCGCUCACAAACCGACUAUUAACUUGUUGAUCCACAUUUUGUGGCCAACAAAUCAUUGGGACUCCCUCAAUUAUACUCUCGAUCGUCGAGUUCCAUCCGCUGUGUGUUAAAAACCCUCCAAUUGCUGAAUGAGCAAGAACCGCUUCCUGUGGAACCCAUGUUGUGAUGAAUCCCCGUUGUUUAGUUUCAUCGAUGAGACGUUUUGGAACUAGAUUAUGAUCAUACUCUCCAAUAACAGAACCGGGCCGUUGAACCCACAAGAAAGGCUUUCCACUAUUCACCAGCCCAUGCCAAAACUCAAACAACUGCUCCACCGUCAUCAUUGCCAUGCUACCAAUGCUAACAUAAACGACCGAUCUUGUUACUUGGGUGUCAAGCCAGGAGAGACAAGUGGCGUUUUCUUCCCAUAAACUGUUUGAAACACUAGAUUGGGUCGUAACUAGAGACUUGUACAAAGUGUGUAUCGGGCCUAUGCAAUAAAUGUCCGGGCAAAGUUUUCUCAUGUGAACUAAUACCGUUUCAUCUAGGGCUUGAAAUGUGUUGAGAAUGAGGCCGUGAGCUCGAGGAACACAUCGAGCUUCCUUCAUUAUGAUCUUUGUAACGAGAUUAUCUACAUCAUCAAGGCGACAAAAGCUUGGAAGAUCACGGCGUCGUAGAAAGGUUUCUGUUCCCGGAACGUUUUUAAUCAGGACAUUCAAGUCUUAGCUAACCGUUAAACGGAACUUCACCGGCUCCGAUUAGCUUAGGGAGGCAGAGAUAGGUCCAAAGUGCAGACGGACUGACAGUCUCAAAAUAAAACAGGGGUAUCCCAACCUCUUCAGCCACAUCAAGCGCAAACGAAAAGGAGGCGUCGGGUAUAAUAAUCGUGACAGGAGGAUCAGACUUGAAACUAAAGCAUCCAGAAACCAUCAUCUCUCUAAAAACCGGCUCCGUGACGGUUUUCAUUCCGUCAAAAAGGUCGAGAAACCGCUGGCCCGAGCGAGGAUGAUCUUCCGGGAGUCCGUCUGAGAUAGUCUUGAAACGGAGAUUAUCGUAGCUGCUGAAUCGUGUUAACACGUUAGAGUGACGGAUGAGAGUGCGGUGGAUGUAAUCGGUGUUGAGGACGGUGACGGUGAUGCCGGAGAUGCAGAGUAGCUCUGCUAGUUUGAGCAUGCAGUUCACCGGACCUUGCAUUGGUAGAGGGAAGAGUAGGACGUGUGG
Molecule: long non-coding RNA, 1490 nt
Filed under: Helianthus annuus (common sunflower)
Lineage: Eukaryota; Viridiplantae; Streptophyta; Magnoliopsida; Asterales; Asteraceae
Description: hypothetical non coding rna
Source: RNAcentral